AUGACGAUGGCGACAGAGGAGGAGCACUUCAGGUCUAUGGUGGAUGAAGGUGUAGAUCGAGAGUUCGAGGAGAAGCUACCCCUCUUCCGUUCAGAGCUGACGAGGACCCUUGAAGAGAUGGAAUCUCCGACCCACGACGACGCCUUCGAGAAGCUGGGUUGGUCAGAGAGCCUCGAGGACAGCACCCUCGACGUCGUCAAGUUCCUGGCGGCGGACGGGGACGAGUGCAGGCGCGGCGCCGCCCUCUUCGCCGGCGAGCAGCCGCUGGCAGACGCCCUGCGUGGCCAGGCCGCGUGGUACGACGCCAGGCGCGCCGAGGCCGAGGAGAUCGCGUCCGGCGCGCGGCGCCUGCGGCACACGUGCCUCGGGACGGUGGCGACGGCGGAGACGGAGGACAUCGUCUGCCUGGGGGCGGUGGACUACAUCGAGCACGUGUUCAAGGAGAUGCCCCACGUCGCCUCGUCCCCGGCGGAGCAGAUGGCGGCGGCGAGGGCCCAGGCACAGGUCCAGGGCCCCGCGGCCACGCGCUUCGUGGAGGAGUUCGCCGAAAUUGCCGGGAGGCUCAGGCGAGGGGCGGCGGAUUUCGGGGGCGAGGAACAGGGGCUCGCCGAGGCGCUGACGGAGCGCGCGGCGAUGGUGGACGCGUUGUGCGCCGACAUGGAGGCGUUCGUGGACAAGAUGGAGUCCUCCGCCUACUGGAGGAUGUUGAAGCAUCUGAACUGA
RNAcentral lists this ribosomal RNA (723 nucleotides) under Triticum aestivum (bread wheat). RNAcentral describes it as "partial small subunit ribosomal RNA". Lineage: Eukaryota; Viridiplantae; Streptophyta; Magnoliopsida; Poales; Poaceae. The record is from RNAcentral.